UUGAGUUCAGCUCAGGGCAGCUCCCCUGUUCUGUUAAUUAAACUCUGAGACAUCAAACUGGCUAGGGUAGAUCACUGCAUAGAAAAUAUUACUCUAAAAAAAAAAAAAAGAAAAUAUUACUCUAUUCAUUUACCUCCCAGCCUAUAAAA
This is a small nucleolar RNA of Delphinapterus leucas (beluga whale), 149 nucleotides long. The record is from Ensembl. NCBI's taxonomy places the organism in Eukaryota, Metazoa, Chordata, Mammalia, Artiodactyla, Monodontidae.